RNAcentral lists this transfer RNA (81 nucleotides) under Sphaerodactylus townsendi. RNAcentral describes it as "tRNA-Ala". Lineage: Eukaryota; Metazoa; Chordata; Lepidosauria; Squamata; Sphaerodactylidae. The record is from RNAcentral.
CUAGGGAGAGGCCAUGGCUCAGAGGAAGAGCAUCUGCUUUGCAUGUAUCAAGUCCCAGGUUCAAUCCUGGAUAUCUCUAGU